UUCAUUUAAGACCUGGCCAAUGACGGAUCUUGAACUCAGAAACCGUAACAUGGUUUGGAUUCUCUGGUGAACUCACAAGGGGAAGACAACCCAUAACAAUAUUGAAAGGUUGCAAGACAGGCGGAGGGUCCCAAACCUCCUAAUCCUAUCCAGAUUCGAGCAGGAUACCUUGGAGCUGGAGAGGCACCACACACCUCGGUCAACCGGUUGCUGAGAGGCUGGGGUGUCACAUGAAGAUUCACCAGCAGGUGUUCAUUUCCCGGACCCCGAAGAGCCACCCUGAUGCCAGAGGACCACCGGUCUUCAGCUGUACCUGUGUCACACCCACUCGCUGAACAAGGCACUAGUGCAGAUACCAGCACCUCGGUGGGCAUUGGAUCCUUGGCUAGAAUGUCGGAACACAGAGGUAAGGGCACUUCACACUCACCUGAGGAGCAGGUAGAGUCAGAGAGCUCCCAGGGCACUGACAGUCGGAGGGCUGCUGCAGACCAGGACGAUGCUGAGUCAAAGGUAGAUGAUCGGCCUCUGGAGUUGUCCUUUAGACGGCAGAUGCUGGAUGUCCAGCAGGGUGUGUGGGAGGAUCUGGU
Molecule: long non-coding RNA, 587 nt
Organism: Carcharodon carcharias (great white shark)
Lineage: Eukaryota; Metazoa; Chordata; Chondrichthyes; Lamniformes; Lamnidae
Exons: 3
Source: RefSeq, a predicted model, not a curated record